GGGUACGCCCGGUCCCUUUCCGAACCCGGAAGCUAAGCCCGAUUGCGCUGAUGGUACUGCACCUGGGAGGGUGUGGGAGAGUAGGUCGCUGCCAACC
This 97-nucleotide ribosomal RNA is filed under the name Corynebacterium diphtheriae bv. gravis. Lineage: Bacteria; Bacillati; Actinomycetota; Actinomycetes; Mycobacteriales; Corynebacteriaceae. The record is from RNAcentral.